Numida meleagris (helmeted guineafowl) is the source of this 485-nucleotide long non-coding RNA. RefSeq lists it as uncharacterized. The transcript has 3 exons. Lineage: Eukaryota; Metazoa; Chordata; Aves; Galliformes; Numididae. The record is from RefSeq and is a predicted model, not a curated record.
AGGGACUAGAAGGAAAUAUGGUUGUUGUAUUUCAGCAGGUUAGGUGGUGAUGAGGAAUGAGCCACAGCUGAACAGUGCAAGCCAGGCAGUCUGUGGAGGGAGGCUGAGCUCGUGGCCUGGGAGAUAUUGUUUUUGCCAGCUUUGGUCAGUUAGUAACAAUUGUUUGGAAUGUGGGUGGAACAGGUCCCAGUGCAUUUUCCUCUCCCCUCCUGGUGUGAGAGAGGAGCUGCAACGUGAGCCAGCUGCCACCUUUUGGCAUGAGUAGCAGUGUAUCCCCAGUCUUCCCAGCACAGCCUUGCCAGUCACCCCUCCAUCUCCCAUUUCUGAGUGACGUUUCUUCUUGAGAUGUAAAACCUGCUCAUCAGCCCAUGCAACUUGAUUGCUAUUAAGGCAACAGGGAGCCGUGCUGAGCUGCAUCUCCUGAGGAGCCAGCCCCUGCUGCUAGUAUAUUUAAGUGAUGCAAAUGUUCAAAGUGGUUGACUUUA